This 372-nucleotide ribosomal RNA is filed under the name uncultured organism. Its description in RNAcentral is "partial 16S ribosomal RNA". It matches the Rfam family "Bacterial small subunit ribosomal RNA", at positions 527 to 896 of the family's 1533-position model. The record is from RNAcentral.
GUAGGUGGCAAGCGUUGUCCGGAAUUAUUGGGCGUAAAGCGCGCGCAGGCGGUUCUUUAAGUCUGAUGUGAAAGCCCACGGCUCAACCGUGGAGGGUCAUUGGAAACUGGAGAACUUGAGUACAGAAGAGGAAAGCGGAAUUCCACGUGUAGCGGUGAAAUGCGUAGAGAUGUGGAGGAACACCAGUGGCGAAGGCGGCUUUCUGGUCUGUAACUGACGCUGAGGCGCGAAAGCGUGGGGAGCAAACAGGAUUAGAUACCUGGUAGUCCACGCCGUAAACGAUGAGUGCUAAGUGUUAGGGGGGUUUCCGCCCCCCUUAGUGCUGCAGCUAACGCAUUAAGCACUCCGCCUGGGAGUACGGCCGCAAGGCUG